ACCUUGCGGCCGUACUCCCCAGGUGGGAUACUUAUUGUGUUAACUCCGGCACAGAAGGGGUCGAUACCUCCUACACCUAGUAUCCAUCGUUUACGGCGUGGACUACCAGGGUAUCUAAUCCUGUUUGCUCCCCACGCUUUCGCGCCUCAGCGUCAGUUAUCGUCCAGAAAGUCGCCUUCGCCACUGGUGUUCCUCCCAAUAUCUACGCAUUUCACCGCUACACUGGGAAUUCCACUUUCCUCUCCGACACUCAAGAAACAUAGUUUCAGAUGCAGCCCCGAGGUUAAGCCUCGGUAUUUCACAUCUGACUUACAUUCCCGCCUACACGCCCUUUACACCCAGUAAUUCCGGACAACGCUCGCCACCUACGUAUUACCGCGGCUGCUGGCACGUAGUUAGCCGUGGCUUGUUUUUGGGGUACCGUCAUUUGUUUCGUCCCCCAUCAAAGAAGUUUACGAUCCGAAAACCUUCAUCCUUCACGCGGCGUUGCUGCGUCAGGGUUUCCCCCAUUGCGCAAUAUUCCCCACUGCUGCCUCCCGUAGGAGUCUGGGCCGUAUCUCAGUCCCAAUGUGGCCGAUCAACCUCUCAGUUCGGCUACCAAUCGUCGCCUUGGUGGUCCGUUACAUCACCAACUAGCUAAUUGGACGCGGGCCCAUCUCUCACCGGAUCGCUCCUUUGAUCAUUAAAGGAUGUCCUUCAAUGAUGUUAUGCGGUAUUAGCACAAGUUUCCCUGUGUUAUCCCCCAGUGUGAGGCAGGUUGCCCACGCGUUACUCACCCGUCCGCCGCUAAACUAAUAUUACUAUUAGCUCCGCUCGACUUGCAUGUGUUAGGCACGCCGCCAGCGUUCGUC
RNAcentral lists this ribosomal RNA (851 nucleotides) under uncultured bacterium. RNAcentral's name for it is "partial 16S ribosomal RNA". The record is from RNAcentral.